UACGGAAGGUGCAAGCGUUAGUCGGAAUUAUUGGGCGUAAGGGGUGCGUAGGCGGGAAAGAAAGUCGGACGUGAAAUUCUGGGGCUUAACCUCAGAGCUGCAUCCGAAACUGUUUUUCUAGAGGAAUGGCGGAGAAGACGGAAUUCCAUGUGUAGCGGUGAAAUGCGUAGAUAUAUGGAAGAACACCUGUGGCGAAAGCGGUCUUCUAGCCUCCUCCUGACGCUGAGGCACGAAAGCAAGGGGAUCAAACAGG
RNAcentral lists this ribosomal RNA (253 nucleotides) under uncultured bacterium. RNAcentral's name for it is "partial 16S ribosomal RNA". It matches the Rfam family "Bacterial small subunit ribosomal RNA", at positions 524 to 776 of the family's 1533-position model. The record is from RNAcentral.